AAAUGCGUUGAGAUUCGUAAUUCGAACAUGAUUUCUGAGUUUUAAGUAGGAUUUUACUAGUGAGCAUUACUGUUCGGUUUUUGUUGCUGGGAAUAUCAGAAUGGAUGAAAGAGAAUGCUAGAGUUUGUGCAGGAGGUCAGUGUACUUGAUUUGGAUAGAAAAUUUUCAUUUUUUCUCCUGCAUACUUUGGAAUCUUUUUGGUGCCUGGCAACGUUUAGAGCUCGGUUUAAGUGAAAAUGACAUGGUUUGCGUGGUAACGCACAUUGUAGUAAGUUCAAUUGAAAGAGAUGGAGGUGAUUGCUUUGCGUAUGGUUGGAAAGUGGUCUGCUCUUGGUGUGGAGUUUCUUGGAGGUUUCUAGAGGAUCAUCCGUGGUUGUGUUAGUUUUUGGAUAGUGUUGCAGGGUGAUGCUUAUUGAUCACUUUUUAGUUUGUCUCUUGCAUUCUCUUCUCUGCACUUUUUGUCUACUCGCGAGGAAGCAAUGUCGGAGUCGCGAAUGGGAAGUGCAAUCUAGUCAUAUCAACGCCACUAGGUCACUCAGUUCUAAAUUUAGAAAAUCAAUGCAAGUCUUUGACGUCGAGUGUGCAAGCUUUAACGCUUUCACUUGGUUUUGACGUUGACGGUUUGAAUGAUUUUGAAAAGCACAGGUUAGUAAGAACAUGCGUUUAUGUUGGAUUGAAAGGAAAGAGGUGUUAUGUAGAUUCAUGGAAUUGGAUUCUGAUAACUAUUUCACUUCUUGUCGUUUUCUGGUUGCUAAAUAUGACAAAUUAGAACUUUGGCUUAACAGGUACAAUCGUGAUCGACAGCCGUGACUUUCGGGAAAUUAGAACAAUAGUUAUGCUGGUUAUAUCCCUCAUGAGUGUCCGCGGGUUGUCGUUUUUAGCACCAGAUAGUUUUGUCUUUCAUCUUUUAACAGUUUGUUCUGUUUCGCGGCCAUAGUUAUCAAGUCGUGGGACAUACAAAGGAUGAUCCGUGGGGCCCCUUAUCUUUCAAUUUUCAAGUUGUUUGCAUACUUAAGGCCUCUGUGUGGAUUAAGAUCGUGAUUACUCAUCUAAUCCCUGCGUUUAUUUUUUCAAGUCGGAUCAAACAUUCAGUUGACUCAAUGUCGACGACUACUGCACUGCAUCGAAUGAUGGCGGAAAGUCAGCGUAACCAUACCAGCCGCAUAUCCAAGAGGACAACCAGGCCCCGAUACAUAGCAAGCAAGCGAACGAAGCACAGUAAAUCAACGUGCCCAAUAACUCGUUCUAAUUGCUAUAAUACAGAAGUAUCGUCGAAGAAGAUGUUUCGGAUGACUUGGGUUUUAUGAAAUAAAAUAGGAUUUAUGUUUUGGGUGA
Molecule: long non-coding RNA, 1335 nt
Organism: Physcomitrium patens
Lineage: Eukaryota; Viridiplantae; Streptophyta; Bryopsida; Funariales; Funariaceae
Source: RefSeq, a predicted model, not a curated record